RNAcentral lists this long non-coding RNA (9001 nucleotides) under Brassica napus (rape). Its description in RNAcentral is "long non-coding RNA (BNAP_LNC013443)". The record is from RNAcentral. Lineage: Eukaryota; Viridiplantae; Streptophyta; Magnoliopsida; Brassicales; Brassicaceae.
AAACAAUCUGAUUGUUCUUAAACACACUCUAAUACACAAAAGUGUAUACAAAGUGAUUCAUCCUGUUUUGAUUAGAACGACGAAGAAGCUGUGCUAUUCCCAAACUGGGAAACUGGAAUCACCUGAUUUGAAAAUGGGAUAACUUCUUCAUGCCAACUCCUAUGAGAUUUAUUCAACUUCCUGGUGAUUCUCCACCACUUUAUGUAUCUAAGUCAAGCUUCUUACAUGAGGGAGGUCCCAUUUUAAAAAUCAAAAAACGUUUUAAAAACGUUUUAUUAAUUCCAAAAAAAACUAAAACAACAAUCCUAACUUAUAUAUCCUAAACUAUCGUGUGAGACUGGGUUCUCUUUCGCCAGUCCCUAUUUCCAAAGCUAAAGUGAGAGACAAAGCACCAGUCUCUGCGAUUGAUACACGUGUCAAUAGAGACCAGUCUCACUACACGUGGUAUCAUUUAGAUUGGAUGGAACCCACGUGAAGAUGGGACCCACUUACUACCCGCAUCUGACGCGCUUAUAUCUCGCCAGCUCGAAAAUAAUAUCUCGAUAUUUCUCUCGUCUCGUCGAGGUUUAACUCGGCGUUUGAGGUAUACUUGCGCGUGGUUUUAUUUUUAAUCUAUUUCACGGUAUUCGUUGAACGUUGAACAUCCAUUGGUCACACUUUGCUUAUUUAAGUGUUUUGUUCGAGUAAUGCUUUUUCUCUCUUUAUAGAAGUUUUUGCGUCUCUCCACGUGACCACUUAUCUGAAAGUGGGAUAACUUCUUCAUCCUAACUCCUAUGAGAGCAGAGAGAGAGAGAGCGUUAGAUUUGAGAGCAGUUAAAGAAAGAGAGUGAGAAACAUAGAUUGUUGAGAGAGAGAUAGAGAGAUGGCUAGUGGAAUCGCUCGUGGUCGUUUGGCGGAGGAGAGGAAAUCGUGGAGGAAGAAUCAUCCUCAUGUAUGUGUUUUCUUCUAUAUACUUUUCCAAUUUCAAAUUUUGAUCCUUGGGCAAGUGUUUAUUGGUCUCUGAUUGUGUUUAUUGAUGGUGAAGUUAGGGUUUUGUGGCGAAGCCGGAGACUGGGCCUGAUGGGUCUGUGAAUUUAAUGGUGUGGCAUUGCACUAUUCCUGGUAAAGCCGGUGUAAGUAUACAAUCAUUUAUCAAUUUAUCUUAUACCUCUGCUUAUGUGCGUCGGCUAAUUGUGAAAUUAGGGUUUAUGAAUUUUCUUAUGGGGAUUGUUUAUCAUUUGCUUUUAUGUCUUCAAAGCUUGGACCUUUCACUAGUUAAUGAUUCAUUUUUGAAUUUUACAGUUCCCCACCACCACCACCAUACUACUCGCCGUCACCUAAGGUAGAAUACAAAUCUCCACCACCACCAUAUGUUUACAAUUCUCCCCCACCACCAUACUACUCACCUUCUCCUAAGGUGUACUCCAAGUCUCCUCCACCACCGUAUGUUUACAGUUCUCCACCACCACCAUAUUACUCACCUUCCCCUAAGAUGUCCUACAAGUCUCCUCCACCACCAUAUGUUUACAGCUCCCCACCACCACCACCAUACUACUCACCUUCUCCUAAGGUUGAUGCUGCCAAAGAAUCGAUUCGUGAUUAUUUGGGCAACUAGAGAGGGCCGAAGAGUGUAGCUGGAGAAGUAACAUUCUUCCUCUUUUGUUUUCAUGUUUUGUCGGCUGAUGAAUGAAGCUGAAUUAUAUUUAUAGUAAUUCAUCUUUAUAAAAAUGCACCAUAUAGUUUGUGAUUUGAUCAAUUAAGCCCCCUUUAGUGAGGAAAUUGAUCUACUAACUGUGCUAUUCCCAAACUGGGAAACUAGAAUCACCUGAUUUGAAAGUGGGAUAAAUUCUUCAUCCCAACUCCUAUGAGAUUUAUUAAACUUCCUGGUGAUUCUCCACCACUUUAUGUAUCCAAAUCAAACUUUACACAAAGUGAUUCAUCCUGGUUUGAUUGGAACGAUGAAGAAGCUGUGCUAUUCCCAAACUUGAAAACUGGAAUCACCUGAUUUGAAAGUGGUAUAACUUCUUCUUGCCAACUCCUAUGAGAUUUAUUCAACUUCCUUGUGAUUCUCCACCACUUUAUGUAUCCAAAUCAAGCUUCUUACAAAGUGAUUCAUCCUGGUUUGAUUGGAACGACGAAGAAGCUGUGAUAUUCCCAAGCUGGGAAACUGGAAUCACCUGAUUUGAAAGUGGGAUAACUUCUUCAUGCCAACUCCUAUGAGAUUUAUUCAACUUCCUGGUGAUUCUCCACCACUUUAUGUAUCCAAAUGAAGGUUCUUACAAAAACUUGGCCUCACAUACUCUCUGAUUAAUCUCCGAUUUUUUUCUCACUCGCUAGGCGUGAACCGGCCGCUCGACUAGCACCUAGCGUAGUUCCGAACAUGGGUUUUUGCUAAUAACAAAAGAAAAAUGAAAAAAAGACGCAUAUUUCUUGUAUUACAAGCGGCUCUUUUGGACCCCAUGCAACGGCAGCUACAUACAUGUAUCAUUAUAUAUUAGCAUGAUCAUGAAAAUGAUAUAACAAUCACAUUGUGAGCUACUUACCUCUGCAAGUGAUGACCUUUCCUUGAGUCUCUACCAUGUUCUUGCUGUUCUUUUCGUUGUUGUUAUAUUAAAAUUGUCUUUCUAGGAGUGUAGCUCUAUAUAUAUAUCCAGAAUUUGGGAUCUAUAUGUCUAAUUAUAGUGAACAUGUUGAGUCACAUGUAUAGUAUCCAAACUGAGUCAAUAAUUCCGAAGUCGGGUUACGUAACAAAAGUACAAGGUAUUAAACCAAUAAGUACAGCAGAUUCUUGUUAUAACACGCACAUGUCGAUAUAUAUAAACAUAUGCAUAUAAUAAAAAUACAAAAACUUGGCCUCACAUACUCUAAACUUGGCCUCACAUACUCUCCGAUUAAUCUCCGAUUUGUUAUUCUUGAGUGGAAAUUAAAAAAAAACAAAGCAAAAGUGCUCAAUAACUUUACAAAAAAAAAAAGUCAACUGAUAUAAGAGCAUCAUUAUCGGUACAUAUGGUGAGGAGUUCCAAAAGAAAAAAAAUUAAUUAAUAUUUUAAAGACGAAGAUGCUUGUAAUUGCUGCAACAAGUAUAUAGAACGUUGCCAAUUUUUAACAUAGUCAGGAGUUAGCAGAUAGAAUGGGAAAGCUUUGAUGAGAGAUCAAAUUUGGUCUCUUUUCAAACAGCCAAAACAAAAAAGUUGACUACAAAUUCAACAUGCACACUCUUGUUGUUGUUUUCUUCAUUCACCAUUCUUCUUGUUUCACCUCCAUUGACAUAUUGUUCUUGAUCUUUUCCCCUAUGUUCUUUAGAGAGUUCUUUCUCAUUCUUCUUAUGUUUGGGUUUGAUUUUAUGGAUUUUCCUAUAAUAAACAGUUUCUUUGGACACUUUGAUUGUGGUAGAGGAAUAACUCAUUUAGGUCUAUAUAAAAGAACACCAAAAGUACUAAUUUUGUAUCACGGUCAGUUUCAAGAAAAUAAAAAUUAAAGAAACAAUGAAAGGUUACAUUAUUGCUCUUAUUGUAUGCGGUUGCUUCGCAAUAAUCGUGGUUGGUCUCAUCUUAUGGUGUCUUCAGAACCGCAAAAAGAAAAAAAGAUCGGCAAGGCGAAUCAAGUGUUACGCGGCGUAUGGAAACGUACGACACGGGAGGACACGUGGAUAAACUAGGAACAGAUUGUGUGAGCCCAUUCGAACGUUUCUUAGACGCAAAAGAGGCCCAAAUGAAGCCUAAAGGCGCAACCACUAAUCCCUACGUUGUUUUGUUUUAUUAAAAAUCGCUCAAUCCUAACUUUUUCGGUUAAAAUUGGGAUUUUGGAUUUUUUUAAAACCAUAAUCUCCCGUAAAAGUAUGACUGGUUUCGUUGUUAUCAUCGGCAAACGAACAAACGAUAAGUACCGAUCGUUGGCGUUUUGCUACAAUCACAAAAAAUGAUAUAUAUUGUUUUAAACCAUUUAAAUUCAAAAACUGGUCUGUGGUAGCAGAUGGUUGUCAGAAGAUAAAAUAAUUUUUUAAACUAUAUAAAUAGAAAAUAAAAAUAUUUAAUUAAAAUUGAAAUCAUUGUUUUUUGUCAUCUAAAAUUGAAAUAAUGGUAAUAAUAGAAACACUAAAUAUAUAUAUAUAUAUAAUAUUUUAAUUUAUAUUAUAAAACUUUAAAACAAAAAUAUCUUCUAUGUUUUUUUAAAAAAAAUAAUAGUAUAAUUUUAUAAAUAUAUUUUCUAUAUUUAUUAUAGUAAUAUUUUUUUUGAUAUUUUAUAAUUUUAUAAUAUAAAUAUUGUUACUUAUUAUUUAACCAUUGUUGCAUUUGGGAGUUAACCAGUCAUAAAUAUUUCGUAAAUGCAACAAUUUUUAACUGUCGUAUCCGUCGUACAAAUCUCUUAAUAAUGCUUAAAAUCACAACCAUCCGCAUCCGCAAACACCCGCAACCGCUACGGUUACACUAUCCAGGCCCUAAGUAAAGAUUGGUUAUUUAUAUUUCAGUGAUACUUAUAGCUUUAAAUCCAUUCAUUUGAUAAUUCAAAGAAAUAAAUAUUAUAAUCAAGCAUGGGUUUUCAUUGUUGUACUGAUAUGAAAAGGGAAACUCUAAUAAGAUUUUUGUAUUAACUGGCAGUUCAGAAAUCCCAAAACUUCUUGGUUCAAAAAUAGAAAUAUAUUUUUUCAACAUGUAAAAUUCUUUUUAACAAAGAAAAUAUUCACGCUUAGUUAAGAUCCACAAAAUAAACCAAAUAAUUGAAGUCUGGUGGCAAGGGCUAAUUCGGGGCAUGACGUAAAUUCAUCUGUUUUGAAUUUGAUUCCAACUGAGAACAAAGUUGUUCUUAUUUCAUCAGUUUGGGUUUGUCUUUCGGUCCAAAUAGUUUCUACGGUAAUACAGUAAUAAACGAUUAAAACGAUUUGGUUAUUCUCUGGUAUUAAUUGAAAAAUAUUUCAAAUAGUGGAGGUAAUUGUAAUCAACUAUUUCUAGAACCUACCGGAUCACUUGAUAGGACAUAUAAAAUUACAGAAAAUAAAAUAACAAUGGAGGAAGAAAGUUGAGGCUUGAUUGUGAUAGGAGUCACGGUAAUCUUACGGUCAGUGGGUACGUAGCAUCUCCAAAAAAGUUUCCCUGUUUGGGAAUAUGACAACUUCUUUGUCAUUCUAAUCAAACCAGGAAGAAUCGCGAUGUAAGAACCUUCAUUUGGAUACAUAAGGUAGUGUAGAAUCACCAGGAAGUUGAAUAAAUCUAAUAGGAGUUAGGAUGAAGAAGUUAUCCCACUUUCAGAUAAGGUGAUCCCAGUUUCCCUGUUUGGGAAUAUGACAACUUCUUCGUCAUUCUAAUCAAAACAGGAAGAAUCACGAUGUAAGAACCUUCAUUUGGAUACAUAAAGUAGUGGAGAAUCACCAGGAAGUUGAAUAAAUCUCAUAGGAGUUAAGAUGAAGAAGUUAUCCCACUUUCAAAUAUAGUGAUCUCAGUUUCCNNNNNNNNNNNNNNNNNNNNNNNNNNNNNNNNNNNNNNNNNNNNNNNNNNNNNNNNNNNNNNNNNNNNNNNNNNNNNNNNNNNNNNNNNNNNNNNNNNNNNNNNNNNNNNNNNNNNNNNNNNNNNNNNNNNNNNNNNNNNNNNNNNNNNNNNNNNNNNNNNNNNNNNNNNNNNNNNNNNNNNNNNNNNNNNNNNNNNNNNNNUCCAAAUCAAGCUUCUUACAAAGUCCUUCAUCGUGGUUUGAUUGGAACGACGAAGAAGCUGUCCUAUUCCCAAAUUGGGAAACUGGAAUCACCUGAUUUGAAAGUGUGAUAACUUUUUCAUCCCAACUCCUACGAGAUUUAUUCAACUUCCUGGUGAAUCCCACCACUUUGUCUAUCCAAAUCAAGCUUCUUACAAAGUGAUUCAUCUUGUUUUGAUUGGAACGACGGAGAAGCUGUCCUAUUCCCAGACUGGGAAACUGGAAUCACCUGAUUUGAAAGUGGGAUAACUUCUUUAUCCCAACUCCUAUGAGAUUUAUUCAACUUCCUGGUGAAUCCCACCACUUUGUCUAUCCAAAUAAAGCUUCUUACAAAGUGAUUCAUCCUGUUUUGAUUGGAACGACGGAGAAACUGUCCUAUUCCCAGACUGGGAAGCUGGAAUCACCUGAUUUGAAAGUAGGAUAACUUCUUCAUUCCAAUUCCUAUGAGAUUUGUUCAAUUUCCUGGUGAUUCUCCACCACUUUAUCUAUCCAAAUCAAGCUUUUUAUAAAGUGAUUCAUCCUGGUUUGAUUGGAACGACGAAGAAGCUGUCCUAUUCCCAAACUGGAAAGCUGGAAUCACCUGGUUUGAAAGUGGGAUAACUUUUUCAUCCCAACUCCUAUGAGAUUUUUUCAACUUCCUGGCGAUUCUCCACCACUUUAUCUAUCUAAAUCAAGCUUCUUCUAAAGUGAUUCAUUCUGUUUUGAUUGGAACGACGGAGAAGUUGUCCUAUUCCCAGACUGGGAAACUGGAAUCACCUGAUUUGAAACUGGGAUAACUUCUUCAUCCCAACUCCUAUGAGAUUUGUUCAAUUUCCUGGUAAUUCUCCACCACUUUAUGUAUCCAAAUUAAGCUUCUUAUAAACUGAUUCAAACUGGUUUGAUUGGAACGACAAAGAAGCUGUCAUAUUCCCAAACUGCGAAACUAGAAUCUCCUGAUUUGAAACUGGAAUAACUUCUUCAUCCCAACUCCUAUGAGACUUAUUCAACUUCCUGGUGAUUCUCCACCACUUUAUGUAUCCAAAUCAAGCUUCUUACAAAGUCAUUCAUCAGGGUUUGAUUGGAACGACGAAGAAUCUGUCCUAUUCCCAAAUUGGGAAACUGGAAUCACCUGAUUUGAAAGUGUGAUAACUUUUUCAUCCCAAGUCCUAGGAGAUUUAUUCAACUUCCAGGUGAAUCCCACCACUUUGUCUAUCCAAAGCAAGCUUCUUACAAAGUGAUUCAUCCUGUUUUGAUUGGAACGACGGAGAAGCUGUCCUAUUCCCAGACUGGGAAACUGGAAUCACCUGAUUUGAAAGUGGGAUAACUUCGUCAUCCCAACUCCUAUGAGAUUUAUUCAACUUCCUGGUGAAUCCCACCACUUUUUCUAUCCAAAUAAAGCAUCUUACAAAGUGACUCAUCCCGUUUUGAUUGGAACGCCGAAGAAGCUGUCAUAUUCCCAAACUGGAAAACUGGAAUUACCAGAUUUGAGAGUGGGAUAACUUCUUCAUCCCAAAUCCUAUGAGAUUUUUUCAACUUUCUGGUGAUUCUCCACCACUUUAUCUAUCCAAAUCAAGUUUCUUAUAAAGUGAUUCAUCCUGGUUUGAUUGGAACAACGAAGAAGCUGUCCUAUUCCCAAACUGGAAAGCUGGAAUCACCUGGUUUGAAAGUGGGAUAACUUUUUCAUCCCAACUCCUAUAAGAUUUUUUCCAACUUCCUGGUGAUUCUCCACCACUUUAUCUAUCCAAAUCAAGCUUCUUAUAAAGUGAUUCAUCCUGUUUUGAUUGGAACGACGAAGAAGCUGUCCUAUUCCCAAAUUGGGAAACUGGAAUCACCUGAUUUGAAAGUAGGAUAACUUCUUCAUCCCAACCCCUAUGAGAUUUAUUCAACAUCCUGGUGAAUCCCACCACUUUGUCUAUUCAAAUCAAGCUUCUUACAAAGUGAUUCAUCCUGUUUUGAUUGGAAAGACGGAGAAGUUGUCCUAUUCCCAGACUGGGAAACUGGAAUAACCUGAUUUGAAACUGGGAUAACUUCUUCAUCCCAACUCCUAUGACAUUUGUUCAAUUUCCUGGUGAUUCUUCACCACUUUAUGUAUCCAAAUCAAGCUUCUUAAAAAGUGAUUCAUCCUGGUUUCAUUGAACGACGAAAAAGCUGUCAUAUUCCCAAACUGCGAAACUCGAAUCACCUGAUUUGAAACUUCCUGGUGAUACCUUUUUCAUCCCAACUCCUAUGAGACUUAUUCAACUUCCUGGUGAUUCUCCACCACUUUAUGUAUCCAAAUCAAGCUUCUUACAAAAUCAUUCAUCGUGGUUUGAUUGGAACGACGAAGAAGCUGUCCUAUUCCCAAAUUGGGAAACUGGAAUCACCUGAUUUAAAAGUGGGAUAACUUCUUCAUCCCAACUCCUAUGAGAUUUUUUUAACUUCCUAGUGAUUCUCCACCACUUUAUGUAUCCAAAUCAAGCUUCUUACAAAGUGAUUCAUCCUGGGUUGAUUGGAACGACGAAGAAGAUGUCAUAUUCCCAAAAUGGGAAACUAGAAUCACCAGAUUUGAAAGUGGGAUAACUUCUUCAUCCCAACUCCUAUGAGAUUUAUUCAACUUCCUAGUGAUUCUCCACCACUUUAUGUAUCCAAAUCAAGCUUCUUACAAAGUGAUUCAUCCUGGUUUGAUUGGAACGACGAAGAAGAUGUCAUAUUCCCAAAAUGGGAAACUAGAAUCACCAGAUUUGAAAGUGGGAUAACUUCUUCAUCCCAACUCCUAUGAGAUUUAUUCAACUUCCUAGUGAUUCUCCACCACUUUAUGUAUCCAAAUCAAGCUUCUUACAAAGUGAUUCAUCCUGGUUUGAUUGGAACGACGAAGAAGCUGUCCUAUUCCCAAAAUGGGAAACUAGAAUCACCAGAUUUGAAAGUGGGAUAACUUCUUCAUCCCAACUCCUAUGAGAUUUAUUCAACUUCCUAGUGAUUCUCCACCACUUUAUGUAUCCAAAUCAAGCUUCUUACAAAGUGAUUCAUCCUGGUUUGAUUGGAACGACGAAGAAGCUGUCCUAUUCCCAAAAUGGGAAACUAGAAUCACCAGAUUUGAAAGUGGGAUAACUUCUUCAUCCCAACUCCUAUGAGAUUUAUUCAACUUCCUAGUGAUUCUCCACCACUCUAUGUAUCCAAAUCAAGCUUCUCACAAAAUGAUUCAUCCUGGUUUGAUUGGAACGACGAAGAAGCAAUCAUAUUCCCAAAAAUGGGAAACUAGAAUCACCAUAUUUGAAAGUGGGAUAACUUCUUCAUCCCAAAUCCUAUGAGAUUUAUUCAGCUUCCUAGUGAUUCUCCACCACUUUAUGUAUCCAAAUCAAACUUCUUACAAAGUGAUUCAUCC